UGACCUCGGAUCAGGUAGGGAUACCCGCUGAACUUUAA
Molecule: ribosomal RNA, 38 nt
Filed under: Umbilicaria cinerascens
Lineage: Eukaryota; Fungi; Ascomycota; Lecanoromycetes; Umbilicariales; Umbilicariaceae
Description: partial 28S ribosomal RNA
Source: RNAcentral